UUUUUUUUUUUUCUGAGCUUCUUCUCCUUUCUCUUCUAUAAUAAGGAGUAUACCAGAUGCCACCGGGGAGUACUAUUAUUCUACUCCUUUUUUUCAUCUGAGGGGAUGGAGCAGACAGAGACUACUUCAGUGAAAGAAAAAUAUUGAACCAAAUUUUAAAGUUGUUUUUAAAAUUUAUUUCUCGCUAAUUAAAUCUUUUAAAAUGAAUUAUUUUUUUUUGGUCUUUUUGUUCCUUCUGUU
RNAcentral lists this long non-coding RNA (240 nucleotides) under Panax ginseng (ginseng). RNAcentral's name for it is "long non-coding RNA (PGIN_LNC012943)". The record is from RNAcentral. Lineage: Eukaryota; Viridiplantae; Streptophyta; Magnoliopsida; Apiales; Araliaceae.